CUGGCGGCGUGCUUAACACAUGCAAGUCGAACGGAAAGGCCCAAGCUUGCUUGGGUACUCGAGUGGCGAACGGGUGAGUAACACGUGGGUGAUCUGCCCUGCACUUCGGGAUAAGCCUGGGAAACUGGGUCUAAUACCGGAUAGGACCACUUCGUAGUUGUUGUGGUGGAAAGUUUUUUCGGUGUGGGAUGAGCUCGCGGCCUAUCAGCUUGUUGGUGGGGUAAUGGCCUACCAAGGCGUCGACGGGUAGCCGGCCUGAGAGGGUGUACGGCCACAUUGGGACUGAGAUACGGCCCAGACUCCUACGGGAGGCAGCAGUGGGGAAUAUUGCACAAUGGGCGGAAGCCUGAUGCAGCGACGCCGCGUGGGGGAUGACGGCCUUCGGGUUGUAAACUCCUUUCGCCAAAGACGAAUUUUGACGGUAUUUGGAGAAGAAGCACCGGCUAACUACGUGCCAGCAGCCGCGGUAAUACGUAGGGUGCGAGCGUUGUCCGGAAUUACUGGGCGUAAAGAGCUCGUAGGUGGUUUGUCGCGUCGUUUGUGGAAGUCCACGGCUUAACUGUGGGACUGCAGGCGAUACGGGCAUAACUUGAGUGCUGUAGGGGAGACUGGAAUUCCUGGUGUAGCGGUGAAAUGCGCAGAUAUCAGGAGGAACACCGAUGGCGAAGGCAGGUCUCUGGGCAGUAACUGACGCUGAGGAGCGAAAGCAUGGGGAGCGAACAGGAUUAGAUACC
Molecule: ribosomal RNA, 734 nt
Filed under: Corynebacterium riegelii
Lineage: Bacteria; Bacillati; Actinomycetota; Actinomycetes; Mycobacteriales; Corynebacteriaceae
Description: bacterial SSU rRNA
Rfam family: Bacterial small subunit ribosomal RNA
Source: RNAcentral